GACGAACGCUGGCGGCGUGCUUAACACAUGCAAGUCGAACGGUGAAGCGCCUUCCUUUUUGGUGGGUGUGGAUGAGUGGCGAACGGGUGAGUAACACGUGAGUAACCUGCCCCCUUCUUCUGGAUAACCGCAUGAAAGUGUGGCUAAUACGGGAUAUUCUGGGUCUGUCGCAUGAUGGGUCUGGGAAAGAUAUUGUUUCGGUGGGGGAUGGGCUCGCGGCCUAUCAGCUUGUUGGUGGGGUGAUGGCCUACCAAGGCGGUGACGGGUAGCCGGCCUGAGAGGGUGGACGGUCACACUGGGACUGAGACACGGGCCAGACUCCUACGGGAGGCAGCAGUGGGGAAUAUUGCACAAUGGGCGGAAGCCUGAUGCAGCGACGCCGCGUGAGGGAUGGAGGCCUUCGGGUUGUGAACCUCGUUCGCCAGUGAAGCAGGCCUGCCUCGUUUGUGGGUGGGUUGACGGUAGCUGGAUAAGAAGCGCCGGCUAACUACGUG
Molecule: ribosomal RNA, 494 nt
Filed under: uncultured bacterium
Lineage: Bacteria
Description: partial 16S ribosomal RNA
Rfam family: Bacterial small subunit ribosomal RNA
Source: RNAcentral